UCUGUCUGAGGGUCCAGACAUUUUGAAUUGAGAAAGCUUUCUCGAUAGGAAGCGAAACAUCUUCAAACCUCAGAAAAACCUGAGGGUUGACCUUUGCCCUCACCUGCCUUCUCAUCUGGACCAGCUGCACAUUAAAGGGUUCCCCAACUACUCUUUCCCAUCCAAUCCAAAUUCCAAAGGAUUUGGGCCCCAUGAACCUAACAAGUUCAGUUGCUUUUUAGUUGAUUUGCUCAGCAAGUGACCUGGAUGUUUGUUUUUAGUCACAACAAACCCAAGCAAUGACUCAGGCCUGCAGCGCUUUAUUCUGGCCUCAGUUAUCCGUAUUUGAGUCGAUAUUAGCUUACCUGAUAAGUGAUGUUUUGGACUGAGAGCAGUUUGACCUGAUAAACCUGAGAGGUGAAUAUUGUUAGAAACUAUUGUGACACUGCUGAGAUAACAUCUGGUGUGUGUCAUGGUUUUGACAGAUGUGACCCACAUGCAGAACACACUCAGGAGACUGGUGAAUAUUAAAAGGUUUAUUGAAAUAGGUUUGAGAACAUGUUGUCUGGAACCGGGAACACUGAGUGGAUCCUCAACUGCUCACGGACAGGACAGUUUGAGGUACUGCAAGUUGUCAGAGAUCAGCUGUGCUUCUUUGGUCUCUGCUCUGAAGUCCAACCCCUCCCAUCUGAAAGACCUAGACCUGAGUUCCAAUGACCUGAAAGAUUCUGGAGUGAAGGAGCUCUGUGGUUUUCUCCAAACUCCCGUCUGCAAACUACAGAUAUUGAGCUUGUGGGGCUGCAAUUUGUCAAAGAUCAGUUGUGAUUCUCUGGUAUUGGCUCUGAAGUCCAACCCGUCCCAUCUGACUGGACCUGAGCAGAAAUAACCUGAAGGAGUCAGAUGUUCAGCAACUGCAGGAUCUUGUAAAGAGUCCAGACUACAAACUGGAAUCUGUGUAAGUAGAUGGUUGGAGUGAGUCCAGCUGCUGUCAGCAGAACUGUUCUGAACCCAGUUGGUACCAAAGCAAAGAUCCAGUGUUU
Molecule: long non-coding RNA, 1019 nt
Organism: Fundulus heteroclitus (mummichog)
Lineage: Eukaryota; Metazoa; Chordata; Actinopteri; Cyprinodontiformes; Fundulidae
Exons: 3
Source: RefSeq, a predicted model, not a curated record